UUGUCUACCGUUGCGAUUAGCCUUAGGCUUUUGUAAUAAAGUGUUAUUUUAGUACAUGUAUAUUUUUAUAUUGUACGUUAAAUUAAUUUAAUUAAUAGUUAAUGCGAUGAUAAUGUUUCAUUCGUAACGUGAACGUGUAUCGAGUCAGUUAUUUAGUUAAUCGUUUGUACAGUGCCGUUAUGGCGGCUGUGUAAUGGUUGAAAACUGGGGAGAUUGGACAAUGGAAGAAUCUUCACCACAAAGUUCAAAUGGGCAAAUUGGAUCGGCUGGUGGAGUCAACAAACAGAAUGAAAAUAAUAAUCAACGACCUCAGUAUUCGAUCCCCGGAAUUCUGCACUUCAUACAACAUGAAUGGGCCAAAUUCGAAAUGGAACGAUCCCAAUGGGAAGUGCAUAGAGCUGAACUGGAGGCGAAAAUAGCUUUCCUCCAGGGCGAACGAAAAGGCCAAGAGAAUCUAAAGAAUGAUCUUGUACGCAGGAUAAAAAUGUUAGAAUACGCGUUGAAACAAGAAAGAGCGAAAUAUCAUAAAUUGAAAUACGGUACUGAUUUAAAUCAAGGCGAUAUGAGUGCUCCUAUAUUCGACGAACCAGGAGCUGCUACCGAAAUCACAGCCGAUGCCGAAGCACCAUUUACAUCAGUUAGUAACAUAACGUGGAAACAAGGGCGUUCUUUGCUUAGACAGUAUCUUCAAGAAAUAGGUUAUACAGAUACAAUAAUAGAUGUUAGGUCGAAUAAAGUAAAAACGUUACUAGGUCUGAAUAAUAUAAAUAAUAAUAAUACCAAUAAUAAUAACAAUCCAAAUUCGCAAGAAGAAUGUAUUCCGGCGCCUGGAUCUCAAACAGUAAACGGAAACGCGACUGUUUCGAAAAAUAAACGUUUAAGCGCCACACAAGGCCGAGGGAACACCAAAAAACAGACUGUCGCUGAAUCUAUGGCCUUAGAUACCGAAGCGGCGAUCAUGGCGAAUUUUGAAUUUCUUAGUCGCGAAGGAGGUGAUGUAGAUAUGGAAGAAGAUGACGACGACGACGAUAAUAACGAAGAAGUCGAUACCUUAGUUUUUGAUCACUGUAGAGCUCCGUUAAAGAGAGAACUACGUCAUGAUAUGCACGAUGUCGAUGCCGAAGCGGAAGAAGUGCUGAAUGAACUUCAUCUGUUGACCGAAAGUGAAGAUGUUUCCUCUUCCGAUAUACGUUCUCAAAAUAGCGGAAUGUUUCAAGUCGUAUCGUCGAUGAGUAUAGCUGCGAGUAAUGAAGAUGAAGGGGGAGAUUCUGCUUUCGCCUUAGGAGAGUUGGCACAGUUGACUGUAAAUAACGAUGUGGAAAAUAGUUACGAAAUGUCCGCUGACAAGGAGUCAUAUAGGAAAACAUGGAACGCCAAGUAUACGUUAAGGAGUCAUUUCGACGGCGUCAGAGCCUUAGCAUUUCAUCCCACCGAACCCGUUUUGAUCACAGCCAGCGAAGAUCGAUCGUUGAAGUUGUGGAAUUUACAGAAAAUAGUCACGUCUAAAAAGUCAGCAUCGUUAGAUGUAGAACCAUUGUACACAUUUCGAAAACAUCUGUCACCGGUUCUGUGCGUAGCUAUCAAUUCGACUGGAGAAGAAUGCUACAGCGGAUGCCAAGACGGUCAAAUUUAUUGUUGGAAUGUUCCUUCGGCUAAUAUAGAUCCUUAUGAUUCCUACGAUCCGGGCGUUUUAAAUAGUACAUUAGAAGGACACACCGAUGCUAUUUGGGGUCUAUCUUUAAACACGCAGAAAUCACAACUUUUAUCGUGUUCAGCCGACGGUACCGUUAAAUUAUGGUCACCUACGAAACAAAAAUCGUCUCUACUAUCGACCUACGUACCCGAUCAAGCCAACGAUGGAAAUCCCACAUCGGCUGAUUUCAUCAGAGACGACAUGAACCGUAUAAUGGUCUCGUACACGUCUGGAAAUUGUAUAAUUUACGAUAUCGAAACAUGUAAACCAAUACUCAGGCUAGAGCAACCAGCUGAAAGAGCCUCGUACGAUCAAGUUAAUCGUCUGAUAUGUCAUCCAACAUUACCUGUAACGAUUACGGCUCACGAAGACAGACAUAUUAGAUUUUACGAUAACACUACCGGUAAAAUGGUCCACUGGAUGGUGGCUCAUCUCGAUGCCGUUACUAGUCUAGCUAUCGACCCCAGUGGAUUAUUCUUACUGUCCGGAAGUCACGAUUGUUCGAUUCGUUUUUGGAAUCUGGAUACUAAAACUUGCGUUCAAGAAAUCACAGCCCAUAGGAAAAAGUUCGAUGAGUCUAUUCACGACGUAGCUUUCCAUCCAUCGAAACCGUAUAUCGCCAGUUCCGGAGCUGACGGAUUAGCCAAGGUUUUUGUUUGUUGAACGCUGCUGCCUACAACCAUAUUGGAUGUUUCUUUCCCAGAUGAGUAAGUUGAAAAAGGAUCGCUUCAAUAUUCGUUUUAUAUCACAAAAGAGAAAUUUGAUAGAAGCGGAAAUACUGGCAGCGCUGUUGCUCAGCCACCUUUCAACGCUAGUAUCAGUUAUGGUCAAAAACUUCGUAUUCUUCAUCCGGUCAUCGUCACGUAGAUGCAUCGUCGUCAAAAGUUCCACGAAUGUGUGAAUCAUCUCCUAAAUCUACCCACAAUCGGCCAGAAAAAUCGGCUCACCAACGACUAGGAUUUCGUUUUACGAUGCUACUUAUCUAAAGGCGACGUUGCCGAAUAAUCAGUCUUGGCAGAUUCUUGGAAUAGAAUUGAACAGGCACCGAUGUAAAUAUACAGUCAUUUUAUCAUAUUAUCGAGUUAUCGAAACGUAAGCAUUUUUUCUCCUUUUUUUCCCCCUUAAAUCAAACUUGGCAAAUACGUCUUUUUCUUUUUUUUUUGCCGCUGGUGGUAGUCAAGUCGUCACUUUGGGUUCACCACCAUUUAAAUUUUAAUAAUUGAGGUUUUGUUAGCUCAAAAUCGCGUCGCGUCGUUUUACUAUAUGGUUAAGCUUUUAUUCAUGUAUAUGUUUACCCCUCCCCUUGUAUCUUUUGUCUCCAGUCUCCUUCCCCUGUUUUUUUUUUUCGUACCCUUCAUCCUGUUCCACUUAUUAAAGUUCAAAUCGUAUUUAGGGUAAAGGACACAUUGAUAUUGAUAACGAUUAAUUCGUUGUUUUUGUUUUGAUGAUUUUUUUUUUAUAUAUAUUAUUAUAUAUUUCUCUAGAUUUAGCGUUAUACAUUUAGAUUGCUACUAUUUUAACGUUGAUAUCGUUAGUGUGUGCUUGUGUAGGUUAUAUCUUUUUUCUAUUUUUCUGUGUUCUCCCCAAUUUCGUGUCUGUGAAUGACGUGUGCCUAUGAAAAUUUACAGAUGUUGACUGUCGUCGAGUGUCGAGUCUUCUAUAUCGACGUUAUCAUUUUCGUCGUAUUUACCCAUUCUACGCAUUAUUUCUUUGUGUUCGACGCGCGUAAAUUUUCACCGCGUAGAAGAGAAAUUGAAAGGCGUGAUUUGGCGGAUUCGUGGAAAGGAAAAAUUGAUUUUUUUUUCCUCGCUUUGAAGUGGUUUUUAAAUUUAAAGAUGCUGACAAAAAAUACCGUUUUUUCUGGAUGAAGUUGAAUAUAGGAAGCGAGUUCGAAGUGUAGAGAUUGUUUUUGGGGUUCGAUUUUAUCCAAGUUUUAGUACGUGCUGAAGUGAAAGAGGGGGAAGGUAGGGAAAGGGGUGAGAAAUGGCGAGAAAAUUGAAAUUUUGCAUUUCUGAAAAAUCGUCUUUUUUUUUUUUUGUUUUGGGUGUUUAUAAUUACACGAUGAAAUUAUUGUGUGUCUAUUUUUUCCCUUCUGCCAGCAUGUUUCGAUUUUAAGAACUAAAAAAUUUAUGUGGCAGGAAAGUUGAGAAGGGUGGGGGGAUGAGAGAAGGGCAUUUUUUCGCAAUUUCCGGUUGAGUUUGUUGGUACUUUUGCGCAAAAAAAAUAUUUUCAGUUGAUUUUUUUUUGUUUUUGAUCUUUUCAUGUUUUUUUUUGUUUUUUUUAUGAAAUUAGAUUUUCUGUGCCAAUUACACAUUCUAUGAAAAAAAUGAACAGGAGUGAAAUUUAUGGACGUGAAAUUUCCUACCAGAAGAGUUCAGUUGGUUAUUUCUUGGAGAGCUUAAUUAUUAAAAUAUUUGAUAUAAAGGUUCAGGAGUUCAACUUUCAUAUUCAGAGUCAAAUAAUUGUAUCAAGAUCUAAGCUCUAUAGAAAUAAUUGAACUCCACUCUUGUGGUUGGAAAUGUCAGACCCUACAAUUUUUCUUCUAUUAAUUUUUGUCUUUGGGAUGCUCAGUUGGCCUAGAAAAUCUAUUUUGCUGUCUGAAGACGAUGAAAAAAAUGACCAAAAAUUUUUAUUUUUGCUCAAAAUCGUCACGUGAUAGAAUUUUACGAAAAUUCGUCGAAUUCUUUGACUUAUGAAUUGAAAUAAAUCCUUUGAUUUUGAAAUGAAAGACGUGAAAUUAGCUGAAAAAAGUUUUAAAUGUCCCCAAAUUUUUCCAUAAUUGAGAGGUACUGAUUUUUCAAAUUUAGGGACAUUUCUUCUCCCCUCUCUCAUCCUUUCUCUCGGAUCAUCGUGUGUCCCAUAAGUCCCUACCACCUUCAAAUUAGCCAUUCCAAUUUUUUAGUCGAAUAAAUUUUCGAAUUUAGCAAAUUUCGAUUGUUUUUAAAAGUUUUGUUCCUCAUAAAUUUCUUCAAAAUGGAGUCUAUAAGGUCAGAAUUGGGUCAAAGAAGUCUAUACGAUGUCAAAAUGUGCAAAAAUUACUGUAAUACCAAGUUUCAGAAUUUUCAGCGCAUUUUACCCCCUCCCCCUCGGCAUUCCCCUUCCGGCCCUCCAGUUCGUCUCGAUCUUGGCCCUCCGAAUGUGAUUGGAAUUUUUACUUUAAUUUUUUAAUCUAAAAAAAUCGUUGAAAAAAUCGAUUCAACUUCAGGGGCUAAAAAAUCAAAACUUUCAAAGUAACCCCCCCCCACCCAUCCCUAACAUUCAAAAUUUUUGAAAAAAUUUACUCUUAUGUCGAAAUACACGUUUCUGUGGACCCUGAAUUCAAAUUUUUGGGCCACUUUUUAGUUUUAAACUCAAAUUUAUCUUUGGAGAUGGAAUAAAAUUUAACUUUUUUGAAAAAUUCUACCUAUGAAUCAAAAUUAUUAUACGUUUCUGGAGGACGUCGAAUCCAAAUUUUUGGGUGAUGGUUUUCCUCUGAACUCAAACUUGGUCCGGGGGAAGGAAUUAAAUUGAAAAUUUUGAAAAAAUGAUCAAUGUGCCAUCCCCUCUACUGGAGCGAAAAAAUGUUUUCUGAGGUUCACUCUUUGUGAAUUUUUUGAUUUUUUGAGUCGAGUAGUUCAAGGUGAUUUUAAAACGUCUUUAAAUUACUAAAAUGUUUAUUUUUAAAAUAUUUUUCAGGACAUUUGAGACCCAUUCCUUCAGUUUGUCUCAAAAUCCUACGGUAAUUAGAGUAUUUAGUUCAAUUUUUUUAAGUGAAAAUUUUUUUUUGAAAUGAAACAAGUUAGCUCGAUUGGGGGCGAUAAACAUAGAAAUUUCAAAAUGAGCCCCCCCCCCAACAUCCUUCGCCUUCGAUUAUCAUUGGGGAGGUUUUUGAUAUGGAUGAAAUUGGCGAAACUUAUCACUGAUGAGUGAUGACUGUGAUGAGGUUUGAAAAAAAUAAUUUCUUCCAUUUUGUGUGAUUGAUAUUCGAAGAAACUGGAAAUUGGAAAAAUUGGUCUGAAAACUGAGAAAAUUAAUUUCCUAGAAACACUUUUUUUUUGGUUCACGUGUUGAAAGUGGAUUGGAUUUAGAAUGUUAUCGAACGAACAAGUUAAUUCCGUCCGUAUAUAUUUUUUUCAUCGAGUUUUCGAUGUUUGAGGAGUCCAUGUUUUGACGAUCAUCUUAUUAUCGUUUUGUUUCCAGUGAUUUUACACGAAUUUCCCCAUCACGCCUGUUCGUUGACGAAUUUUAAUGUUGAAAAAAAUCUACUCGUUGAAAUCACGAGUAGGCUACAAACAAUGAGCAAUGUAACGCCAAAUUGUCUUAUAUUAAUAAUUGCAUUUAUAAAAAAUAUGUUCCAAUAAUCGAUGAAAAUUUAUAUUUUCGUUUUGUUUUUCGAAUUGAUUUUUAAUUUACCUACGACGAGUUAAAAUAAUGGCUAUAAUAAUAUGGUACCUAAUUAAUAAUGUCGUUUUGUAUAAGCGAAAAUCGUGUAUUUUUUCUUUUUUCUUUUUUUUUUCGUGUACGAAUAUCGUAUGUGCUGUGAUUGGUAUUUUUAAUGACUUGGGAUAUACUAACAAUUGAAGUGAUUUUUUAAUCGAAAAUUUUUAAGAGUACCCUAACUCCGCCCUGCCCAUGAUCUUUUGGCCAUGUCCAAGAGUAUUGAAAUAGAUCAUGGAGUCUUUUUAACGUUAGUAUUUUGGCGGUUUUUUCGGUCCAAGUUGGGUAUGCGAUUGCGAGUUAUCGUAAUAAUAACUUGCUUUGGUAAAAAUACGUUCGAAAAAGUAAAAAAAAAAAAAAGGUAAUUUUUUUCUAUGCUGCUGAUUUGAUAUUAGAUUAUUGUACUAGCGCGUAAUGA
This is an RNA transcript of Planococcus citri (citrus mealybug), 6527 nucleotides long. It is a transcript of the gene named Connector of kinase to AP-1, with no coding region annotated. Lineage: Eukaryota; Metazoa; Arthropoda; Insecta; Hemiptera; Pseudococcidae. The record is from RefSeq and is a predicted model, not a curated record. The transcript has 14 exons.